AGCUCUAGGUUGAUCUGCAACUCUAGGUGCUGGAGGUGCCUGUGAAAGUGGCUGCUGAUCAUGCUGCUCAGAGGAUGACGUGUCUGUUCUUGCCCUUUUUCUUAUAGUGCGAGAGGGGUUGUGUCAGCAUUGUUGAUCCUCUGCUAUUUUACCUGAUAGAAAUUAAAGUUUAGCAUCGAGCAUUCACAAUCAUUCAAUGCAAGUAAAUGAAUUAAGCAACAAAUAGAUUGAGACGAAAUCUCGGCAGCUUA
This 251-nucleotide long non-coding RNA is filed under the name Ricinus communis (castor bean). RNAcentral's name for it is "long non-coding RNA (RCOM_LNC002298)". The record is from RNAcentral. Lineage: Eukaryota; Viridiplantae; Streptophyta; Magnoliopsida; Malpighiales; Euphorbiaceae.